This 454-nucleotide ribosomal RNA is filed under the name uncultured bacterium. RNAcentral describes it as "bacterial SSU rRNA". It matches the Rfam family "Bacterial small subunit ribosomal RNA", at positions 28 to 526 of the family's 1533-position model. The record is from RNAcentral.
GAUGAACGCUGGCGGUAUGCUUAACACAUGCAAGUCGAACGGUCUCUUCGGAGAUAGUGGCGGACGGGUGAGUAACGCGUGAGAAUCUGCCUUCAGGUCUGGGACAACCACUGGAAACGGUGGCUAAUACCGGAUGUGCCGAGAGGUGAAAGGUUAACUGCCUGAAGAGGAGCUCGCGUCUGAUUAGCUAGUUGGUGGGGUAAAAGCCUACCAAGGCGACGAUCAGUAGCUGGUCUGAGAGGAUGAUCAGCCACACUGGGACUGAGACACGGCCCAGACUCCUACGGGAGGCAGCAGUGGGGAAUUUUCCGCAAUGGGCGAAAGCCUGACGGAGCAAUACCGCGUGAGGGAGGAAGGCUCUUGGGUUGUAAACCUCUUUUCUCAGGGAAUAAAAAAAUGAAGGUACCUGAGGAAUAAGCAUCGGCUAACUCCGUGCCAGCCGCCGCCGUAACAC